GAUGAACGCUGGCGGCGUGCCUAAUACAUGCAAGUCGAGCGAACGGACGAGAAGCUUGCUUCUCUGAUGUUAGCGGCGGACGGGUGAGUAACACGUGGAUAACCUACCUAUAAGACUGGGAUAACUUCGGGAAACCGGAGCUAAUACCGGAUGAUAUUUUGAACCGCAUGGUUCAAAAGUGAAAGACGGUCUUGCUGUCACUUAUAGAUGGAUCCGCGCUGCAUUAGCUAGUUGGUAAGGUAACGGCUUACCAAGGCAACGAUGCAUAGCCGACCUGAGAGGGUGAUCGGCCACACUGGAACUGAGACACGGUCCAGACUCCUACGGGAGGCAGCAGUAGGGAAUCUUCCGCAAUGGGCGAAAGCCUGACGGAGCAACGCCGCGUGAGUGAUGAAGGUCUUCGGAUCGUAAAACUCUGUUAUUAGGGAAGAACAUAUGUGUAAGUAACUGUGCACAUCUUGACGGUACCUAAUCAGAAAGCCACGGCUAACUACGUGCCAGCAGCCGCGGUAAUACGUAGGUGGCAAGCGUUAUCCGGAAUUAUUGGGCGUAAAGCGCGCGUAGGCGGUUUUUUAAGUCUGAUGUGAAAGCCCACGGCUCAACCGUGGAGGGUCAUUGGAAACUGGAAAACUUGAGUGCAGAAGAGGAAAGUGGAAUUCCAUGUGUAGCGGUGAAAUGCGCAGAGAUAUGGAGGAACACCAGUGGCGAAGGCGACUUUCUGGUCUGUAACUGACGCUGAUGUGCGAAAGCGUGGGGAUCAAACAGGAUUAGAUACCCUGGUAGUCCACGCCGUAAACGAUGAGUGCUAAGUGUUAGGGGGUUUCCGCCCCUUAGUGCUGCAGCUAACGCAUUAAGCACUCCGCCUGGGGAGUACGACCGCAAGGUUGAAACUCAAAGGAAUUGACGGGGACCCGCACAAGCGGUGGAGCAUGUGGUUUAAUUCGAAGCAACGCGAAGAACCUUACCAAAUCUUGACAUCCUUUGACAACUCUAGAGAUAGAGCCUUCCCCUUCGGGGGACAAAGUGACAGGUGGUGCAUGGUUGUCGUCAGCUCGUGUCGUGAGAUGUUGGGUUAAGUCCCGCAACGAGCGCAACCCUUAAGCUUAGUUGCCAUCAUUAAGUUGGGCACUCUAAGUUGACUGCCGGUGACAAACCGGAGGAAGGUGGGGAUGACGUCAAAUCAUCAUGCCCCUUAUGAUUUGGGCUACACACGUGCUACAAUGGACAAUACAAAGGGCAGCGAAACCGCGAGGUCAAGCAAAUCCCAUAAAGUUGUUCUCAGUUCGGAUUGUAGUCUGCAACUCGACUACAUGAAGCUGGAAUCGCUAGUAAUCGUAGAUCAGCACGCUACGGUGAAUACGUUCCCGGGUCU
Molecule: ribosomal RNA, 1372 nt
Filed under: uncultured bacterium
Lineage: Bacteria
Description: bacterial SSU rRNA
Rfam family: Bacterial small subunit ribosomal RNA
Source: RNAcentral